AUUGAACGCUGGCGGCAUGCUUUACACAUGCAAGUCGAACGGCAGCGCGGGCUUCGGCCUGGCGGCGAGUGGCGAACGGGUGAGUAAUGCAUCGGAACGUGCCCAGUAGUGGGGGAUAGCCCGGCGAAAGCCGGAUUAAUACCGCAUACGACCUGAGGGUGAAAGCGGGGGACCGAAAGGCCUCGCGCUAUUGGAGCGGCCGAUGCCGGGUUAGCUAGUUGGUGGGGUAAAGGCUUACCAAGGCGACGAUCCGUAGCUGGUCUGAGAGGACGACCAGCCACACUGGGACUGAGACACGGCCCAGACUCCUACGGGAGGCAGCAGUGGGGAAUUUUGGACAAAGGGGGCAACCCUGAUCCAGCCAUGCCGCGUGCGGGAAGAAGGCCUUCGGGUUGUAAACCGCUUUUGUUCGGGAAGAAAUCCUCUGGGCUAAUACCCCGGGGGGAUGACGGUACCGGAAGAAUAAGCACCGGCUAACUACGUG
This 484-nucleotide ribosomal RNA is filed under the name uncultured bacterium. RNAcentral's name for it is "partial 16S ribosomal RNA". It matches the Rfam family "Bacterial small subunit ribosomal RNA", at positions 28 to 507 of the family's 1533-position model. The record is from RNAcentral.